GAGCGCGUAGCCAUGCCUGUGCGCCUGGAUCGAGCGAUGCUCUGCGUUGUUGGAGAUCGAUCGGAGAAGAAACGCAGGCGCUGCGCUUGGCUGCUGUGGUGGGUUGGUGGCUGGUGCAGCAUGUUGCUCCUUGUUUUAUACCCGUGGGCGUGCCUUGGUCUCCGACUCGCCGCCAUGAAUCUCUGUGUCGGAAUCCUUGGCUUCUCGGAGUCGGACGGUCGGACUCCACUCCCGCCGGCCGCCGCUAAUGUGCGCCGCUCCUAUGCGUGCAUCGUCUCCGAAUCGGAUUUUGGUGUAAACAUGCCUGUCACCGAUCGUAAACGAGAACCUAUUUUCCUGAGACAGCUGCGACAGAUCUGUUGACAGAUACGCAACAACUUGGACUUGCCAAGGCCGAAGGGUGCUC
RNAcentral lists this long non-coding RNA (406 nucleotides) under Setaria italica (foxtail millet). RNAcentral's name for it is "long non-coding RNA (SITA_LNC001597)". Lineage: Eukaryota; Viridiplantae; Streptophyta; Magnoliopsida; Poales; Poaceae. The record is from RNAcentral.